Molecule: ribosomal RNA, 460 nt
Filed under: uncultured bacterium
Lineage: Bacteria
Description: partial 16S ribosomal RNA
Rfam family: Bacterial small subunit ribosomal RNA
Source: RNAcentral
CCUACGGGAGGCAGCAGUGAGGAAUAUUGGUCAAUGGACGAGAGUCUGAACCAGCCAAGUAGCGUGAAGGAUGACUGCCCUAUGGGUUGUAAACUUCUUUUAUAUGGGAAUAAAAUGUUCCACGUGUGGGAUUUUGUAUGUACCAUAUGAAUAAGGAUCGGCUAACUCCGUGCCAGCAGCCGCGGUAAUACGGAGGAUCCGAGCGUUAUCCGGAUUUAUUGGGUUUAAAGGGAGCGUAGGUGGACUGUUAAGUCAGUUGUGAAAGUUUGGGGCUCAACCGGAAAAUUGCAGUUGAAACUGGCAGUCUUGAGUACAGUAGAGGUGGGCAGAAUUCGUGGUGUAGCGGUGAAAUGCUUAGAGAUCACGAAGAACUCCGAUGGCGAAGGCAGUUCACUGGACGGCGACUGACGCUGAGGUGCGAAAGUGUGGGUAUCAAACAGGAUUAGAUACCCCAGUAGUC